GACAGAGGAUGCAAGCGUUAUCCGGAAUGAUUGGGCGUAAAGCGUCUGUAGGUGGCUUUUUAAGUCUGCCGUCAAAUCCCAGGGCUUAACCCUGGACAGGCGGUGGAAACUACCAGUCUUGAGUGGUGGAGAGGGAAGUGGAAUUCCUGGUGUAGAGGUGAAAUUCGUAGAUAUCAGGAGGAACACCAGUGGCGAAGGCGGCUUCCUGGACACCAACUGACGCUGAGACGCGAAAGCGUGGGGAGCAAACAGG
Molecule: ribosomal RNA, 253 nt
Filed under: uncultured bacterium
Lineage: Bacteria
Description: partial 16S ribosomal RNA
Rfam family: Bacterial small subunit ribosomal RNA
Source: RNAcentral